RNAcentral lists this ribosomal RNA (467 nucleotides) under uncultured bacterium. RNAcentral's name for it is "SSU rRNA". It matches the Rfam family "Bacterial small subunit ribosomal RNA", at positions 26 to 518 of the family's 1533-position model. The record is from RNAcentral.
AGAGCGAACGCUGGCGGCAGGCCUAAAACAUGCAAGUCGAACGGACCCUUCGGGGUUAGUGGCGGACGGGUGAGUAACACGUGGGAACGUGCCUUUUGGUUCAGAACAACUCAGGGAAACUUGAGCUAAUACUGAAUAAGCCCUACGGGGGAAAGAUUUAUCGCCAUUAGAGCGGCCCGCGUUGGAUUAGCUAGUUGGUGAGGUAAAGGCUCACCAAGGCUACGAUCCAUAGCUGGUCUGAGAGGAUGAUCAGCCACACUGGGACUGAGACACGGCCCAGACUCCUACGGGAGGCAGCAGUUAGGAAUCUUGCGCAAUGGGCGAAAGCCUGACGCAGCCAUGCCGCGUGAAUGAUGAAGGUCUUAGGAUUGUAAAGCCCUUUGUUGGGAAGAAAUCGUACGGUUGAAUAUUCCGUGCGGAUGACGGUACCAAAGAUAAGCACCGGCUAACUUCGCGCCAGCAGCCGC